Molecule: ribosomal RNA, 435 nt
Filed under: uncultured Pseudoalteromonas sp.
Lineage: Bacteria; Pseudomonadati; Pseudomonadota; Gammaproteobacteria; Alteromonadales; Pseudoalteromonadaceae
Description: bacterial SSU rRNA
Rfam family: Bacterial small subunit ribosomal RNA
Source: RNAcentral
CAUGCAAGUCGAGCGGUAACAGAGAGUAGCUUGCUACUUUGCUGACGAGCGGCGGACGGGUGAGUAAUGCUUGGGAACAUGCCUUGAGGUGGGGGACAACAGUUGGAAACGACUGCUAAUACCGCAUAAUGUCUACGGACCAAAGGGGGCUUCGGCUCUCGCCUUUAGAUUGGCCCAAGUGGGAUUAGCUAGUUGGUGAGGUAAUGGCUCACCAAGGCGACGAUCCCUAGCUGGUUUGAGAGGAUGAUCAGCCACACUGGGACUGAGACACGGCCCAGACUCCUACGGGAGGCAGCAGUGGGGAAUAUUGCACAAUGGGCGCAAGCCUGAUGCAGCCAUGCCGCGUGUGUGAAGAAGGCCUUCGGGUUGUAAAGCACUUUCAGUCAGGAGGAAAGGUUAACGGUUAAUACCCGUUAGCUGUGACGUUACUGACAG